RNAcentral lists this ribosomal RNA (253 nucleotides) under uncultured bacterium. RNAcentral's name for it is "partial 16S ribosomal RNA". It matches the Rfam family "Bacterial small subunit ribosomal RNA", at positions 524 to 776 of the family's 1533-position model. The record is from RNAcentral.
UACGAAGGGGGCUAGCGUUGCUCGGAAUCACUGGGCGUAAAGCGCACGUAGGCGGAUUGUUAAGUCAGGGGUGAAAUCCUGGAGCUCAACUCCAGAACUGCCUUUGAUACUGGCGAUCUUGAGUCCGGGAGAGGUGAGUGGAACUGCGAGUGUAGAGGUGAAAUUCGUAGAUAUUCGGAAGAACACCAGUGGCGAAGGCGACAUACUGGUCCGUUACUGACACUGAGGCUCGAAAGCGUGGGGAGCAAACAGG